GUGUAAUGUUUUUCUAUUUUAUUUUUUAAUGAUUAAAUUUUUCCCUUUCCUCUACAGAUUCGAGUACUGACGAUGCAUCAACCGAUAGCUGAUAAUAAUUUUUAUUCAUAGUUAAGGUUAGAAUAAUCAACUAAUGAGAUAUAUUUGAUUGUUUAUUGUGAUGGUUGUUGAUCUUGUAUUAUAGUUAUGGAGCUUUUGUUUACAGGAAUUCUCAUUUAACCAAAGAAGAUAUU
This 233-nucleotide long non-coding RNA is filed under the name Olea europaea (common olive). RNAcentral describes it as "long non-coding RNA (OEUR_LNC005463)". The record is from RNAcentral. Lineage: Eukaryota; Viridiplantae; Streptophyta; Magnoliopsida; Lamiales; Oleaceae.